RNAcentral lists this ribosomal RNA (173 nucleotides) under uncultured bacterium. Its description in RNAcentral is "partial 16S ribosomal RNA". It matches the Rfam family "Bacterial small subunit ribosomal RNA", at positions 1320 to 1500 of the family's 1533-position model. The record is from RNAcentral.
AUGAAGUUGGAUUCGCUAGUAAUCGCGCAUCAGCCAUGGCGCGGUGAAUACGCUCCCGGGCCUUGUACACACCGCCCGUCAAGCCAUGGGAGCUGGGGGUGCCUGAAGUUCGUGACCGCAAGGAUCGACCUAGGGCAAAACCGGUGACUGGGGCUAAGUCGUAACAAGGUAUC